Molecule: ribosomal RNA, 374 nt
Filed under: uncultured bacterium
Lineage: Bacteria
Description: bacterial SSU rRNA
Rfam family: Bacterial small subunit ribosomal RNA
Source: RNAcentral
UACGUAGGGUGCGAGCGUUAAUCGGAAUUACUGGGCGUAAAGCGUGCGCAGGCGGAUAUUUAAGUCAGACGUGAAAUCCCCGGGCUUAACCUGGGAAUGGCGUUUGAAACUGGAUGUCUAGAGUGUGGCAGAGGGGGGUGGAAUUCCGCGUGUAGCAGUGAAAUGCGUAGAUAUGCGGAGGAACACCGAUGGCGAAGGCAGCCCCCUGGGCUAACACUGACGCUCAUGCACGAAAGCGUGGGGAGCAAACAGGAUUAGAUACCCUGGUAGUCCACGCCCUAAACGAUGUCAACUGGCUGUUGGGAGCGCAAGUUCUUAGUAGCGAAGCUAACGCGUGAAGUUGACCGCCUGGGGAGUACGGCCGCAAGGUUGAA